AACGAACGCUGGCGGCAGGCCUAACACAUGCAAGUCGAGCGAAGCCUUCGGGCUUAGCGGCGGACGGGUGAGUAACGCGUGGGAACGUGCCCUUUGGUACGGAAUAACCACGGGAAACUGGGAGUAAUACCGCAUGUGGUCAAGAGACGAAAGAUUUAUCGCCAAAGGAUCGGCCCGCGUGAGAUUAGGUAGUUGGUGGGGUAGUGGCCUACCAAGCCUACGAUCCAUCGCUGGUUUGAGAGGAUGAUAAGCCACACUGGGACUGAGACACGGCCCAGACUCCUACGGGAGGCAGCAGUGUGGAAUCUUAGACAAUGGGGGAAACCCUGAUCUAGCCAUGCCGCGUGAUCGAUGAAGGCCUUAGGGUUGUAAAGAUCUUUCAGUGGGGAAGAUAAUGACUGUACCCACAGAAGAAGCCCCGGCUAACUCCGUGCCAGCAGCCGCCGUAA
Molecule: ribosomal RNA, 449 nt
Filed under: uncultured bacterium
Lineage: Bacteria
Description: partial 16S ribosomal RNA
Rfam family: Bacterial small subunit ribosomal RNA
Source: RNAcentral